This is a long non-coding RNA of Eptatretus burgeri (inshore hagfish), 3918 nucleotides long. Lineage: Eukaryota; Metazoa; Chordata; Myxini; Myxiniformes; Myxinidae. The record is from Ensembl.
UGGAGAAAAGAACUAUAACUCUGUCAGCACUGUUGACAUCAUAUUUAAUGAAUAAGGUAUAAGGUUCACUUGAGUGACCCAGCAGUAUUGGCGGCGGAGGUUUUGCACUCUCCCGAGUGCUCCCCCUCGAGUUAUUUAUGUUUUUAGCUGUUGUUUUCAUCAAGUUUAGUUCGAGUAUAAAGGGGAAGUAGACAGGCUUUGCAAUUUUGAGAUGUUUUCUUGUUCUAUUCUUUAUUGAUGUCGGUUUCUUUUUCAACAUCCUCUGGUGCACAGUUGAGUGCGGUAUCGUUCACCAUGUAUUGAUUCAACCGUCAUUGCCUCUUCAUCCAGUACACUAAUGAUGAACUGUUUUUCAUCAGGUGAUGCCUGUCAAGUUCAAAUGAAAUUGCCCCAAAGUAACGUUCCUCACAACAUCCAAGAAGUUAUGUGCAAUUUAUAUGUGAUGGAAGAAUCGUGUGCUGCCCCUCUGGUGGAAGCUAGUGAUGGUGCUAAACAAGCCACAAACGUCUUGAGAGUACUUCCUGCCACAGUCCCAGCCGACGGUAAUUUUCUGCUCAAUGUGCUGCCUGUUGCUGUAAAUGGAGGUGAACCCAAUGACCUGAAAUUCCAAACGUUUCAGCAUAAAAUGCCAUCCAUCUACCAACAGAUGGCCAUUGCAUCAGCCUCUCACAACUCUAUGGCUUCUUAUCAGCAAUGCACCUCUUACCAACAAUGCGCCACUGGAGGCAAUUAUUCAUACGCUUGGCCAAUGUCAACUGCAUCAAUAAUGUUGAACGGAGAAAUUAUCUCCAUGAAUCCAAGUGCCAGUAAUGUAGUGGACAAUAGCAUGUCAAUGUUGAAUAUGACUCUCUGCCCAAGUCACGACAAACAAGCUCAACAUCCCAUAAACAUGAUGUGGAACGGCGUCGGCUGCUUGCAAACCGGAGGAUCAUGGACCCCAAAUGGAUUUGUUCCUCUGGUCCUUCAACAAAUGCCUGAAAUCGUCACUGUCGCUGAAACGGAGCUCACACCAACUCAAAAAAAUACAUUAUCCGAAGUCGAACACGUGAGUCGAUCACAAAUCCCGACGGAGCAUUCACUUCCAGCAGGAGGUUCUCCCACGCACGUGCCCGGCGGAAGCGUUGCCACUAAAAAGGCGGAUGCUGGCAGGAAUGAAGUCAAACGUUGUGACCUUUCAACCGAUACCCUGAAAACAGGUAAUCCGUCGGGGUCCAUCCAAGAGAUUGAAUAUAUUUUGGAAAACGAUAUGCCACAAGUGAUUCCUAUGGGAUCGCUCAAAUCGAAUGGACUUUUCCUGAUCGGAAACAAAAUCAUUUGGCUGCUGUUGAACUCGAAGUCUGAGAUGUCGAGCAUUCCAUGCGGAGUGAAAGAAGAUGUGUACUUCAUCUUGGACGACAGCGAAAAUUUCCGCAGAGAGCGCAAUGGCCAACGAAGAAUCUUCCAGGACGAUUUUGAGGCCUGUUCAUCGAAAAACUCAUUGAAACGGGUCCACUACGUUUACAUCCAUGGGGGUUUUGAAUAUGUUGAGUUUAGAAAAAAACAGUUUAACAAAAGUAUAGGAGGUAAAUCGACGCCCCUUCAACCCCAACCGAAUGGAGACCUUUUGGUUCUUGGGCGGUACAGCUGUUUUCUCAAACAUCAGAAAAUGUUUAAGAAAAGGGUUACAUGGAUUGAAACAUUUCCCAACAAAGUCAUCCCCAAGCAAUGGGAAAUUGCGGUGGCAGAGUACGUUGGUUCUCGCAAUCCCCAAAAAGUCAUUAAGAAACAGGUUAUACUCCCCAAAAAAGCUAAAAGAGGGUGAUGGAAAUAAAAAAAAAUUAAAACUGCAAACAUUGUCACCAAUCAGUGACAUAGACCGCAUCGAGAAAUCGAAUAUAAAUGUUUCGGAUUCCUCCGUCAGCCCGCAUCACGGCUGCCUCGCUCAGUUCCUCGUCGUCAUCGAACGAUUGGCGAGGCAGGUGCGACUUCAAAUGUCGAAGCGGUGGAAAUCGAUUCGGUGAUGACUUUUAUCGCGUUGCACAAAUCUUUAAUGUGAAUUGUUCCUUUUGACUUGAAAUGUUUUUUUUCAUUGGUUUGAAAGUUUUAAUUUUUUUUUUUUUUUUUUUUUUAUUUUGCAUUGUAAAGCCAGAUAGAUAACUUGGACUGUACUUCAAAAGCUGUUCCGAAAUGCACAUGCAGACAUGUUAUGGUAUUCACCGAGGACAAUUAGUGUUAAGGAAAAUGUUGAAGAGGUGCUGUCUAUUUAUUAUGUAUGCCUGUGUGGUGGGAAUAGUCCCAGGGUAAAAUCGAGUAAACCUAAAAUUGAGCAAGAAAAAGCAAUGGGGGAGAAUAAGUGUGAUGAGUGCGGCAGUUGCAGUCUAAUCGAAUGUCGCGUAAGACAGAUUACAGCUCAUAGAUGUAUGUCUAAGUUGGACAGCACUGUCUGCUGUUAGGUGGAUUGCCCUAAAUCUUUCAUCACAUUUCCGUAGAUGACACUCAUUCGCAAUGUGAUGAAUAGUCUGAUUUGGGUGAGCACAGUCAGGCAGUUGCAGAAAGAUGAGGUGAAGGAAUGGGUUUGUAUCAUGUUAAUGGUGAGCUAUCAAAACUUACCGUCGGUGCAAUCAAAAUUUCUAACUGCCUUGUGGGGGGCAUGUCGGGAGAGAGUGGAACUAUGAAAGUUUAAAAUGAUAAGAGAAAUUAAGUGAUAAUGAUCGGGCAAAGAAAGGAAGGUCGGAGAGUGGGGAUGGAAGGGGUCGAGAUGUGUAUAACGGGGUUGAGAUUGUGCAAACCUCGAGGCCAUCCUGCCAGCCUUGGGGUGAGGUGGGAUAUAUAUGUAUAUAGUUGCUUGCUGUGUUUGUUGAACUGGGUUUAUUUCUUUUAUUUAUUUAUUUAUUUUAUCACAUUAUUAUUCCCUUGGGCUUGGUAGUAAUAUUUUAUUUGCUAUCUUUUAUUUAACUGUGUUAAUAUUUCAGCAUUUUUACUGCGUGCAUAUGUUUCAUCAUGAGAAUAUUUAAUUAAUUCGGAGUUAAGAUAUAGUUUGUAUGAUUACAGUGGACAAUAUGGACAGGUUCAUGAUUAAAUUGUCGAGACGGAGCAAGUACAAAACAUCGAUGAGCGACAUCUCACUCGGAGCACCUGCAGUUGGUUUUGGAGACCAAAAUGACGUCAUAAUAUUUGCAUAUGUAAUAGGUAGAUGGCCCUUUCAUAUUUUGAAGGACAUUGUCGUGGACUGCGUUGAGCUGCAUUUUGCAUUGCUCGUGUGUUAAGAUGACGUCUUAUUUGCUCAUCCGUCGUCCAUCUCAAAUAUACUGCCCGACGAUGGCAGCCACAUGGCUUGGAUUUCCAUGCUUCUCCGAUCUUCCAGUCUUCCCUUUAUCUUUGCACAUAACCCUCUUUGCUUCAGAUCGCUGAGCAGUGCCUUCCUUUUCCUCUUUUCUUUCCAUUCUUCCAUCGAAGACCACUCUCGGAACUCAUUCUCCUCUAAUACUAUUCAGAUCUUUGCUUUUGUCUCGUUCUUCCCAUCAAACUUCACUCCUGGACAAGCUUCAGUCGUGCCUUACCAGUGUUGUGUGGAGGGGGGGGAGGGGAGGGGGAGGAAUCGGUAUAUUUCUACUUUUUGCCACAAAUUUCACUGAUUAAACAUCUGAUGCAUUGAUAAUGGCAAAUGGACCCAUUUCUCGGCUGUUGUUGUUGUUGUUGUUUUUUUUGUUGGAAUUCUCAUUUUAAGUAUAUUAUUAAUUUUCUUGGGUUGUUUUACACUUUUGUUUCCCCCCCCCCGACCUCUGCUCUCGUCAACUUUCUUCCUUGGAUUUGGUGGCAAAAUUGCAAUUUAAUUUGUGCCAUUUGGUGUUGCGACUUGAUCAACUUUCUUCCUUUUUAUACUUGUGUAUAUUUUCGAUGAUCUAUUUUCAUUUUUAUUUUUAUUAAUUAAAAAGUGCA